GACGAACCGUGCGAACGUUGUUCGGAAUCACUGGGCUUAAAGGGCGCGUAGGCGGACUGCCGCGUCCGGGGUGAAAUCCUCCCGCUCAACGGGAGAACGGCCUCGGAUACGGGCGGCCUCGAGGGGGGUAGGGGCGUCUGGAACUGUGGGUGGAGCGGUGAAAUGCGUUGAUAUCCACAGGAACUCCGGUGGCGAAGGCGAGGCGCUGGACCCCAUCUGACGCUGAGGCGCGAAAGCCAGGGGAGCGAACGGG
RNAcentral lists this ribosomal RNA (253 nucleotides) under uncultured bacterium. Its description in RNAcentral is "partial 16S ribosomal RNA". It matches the Rfam family "Bacterial small subunit ribosomal RNA", at positions 524 to 776 of the family's 1533-position model. The record is from RNAcentral.